This 253-nucleotide ribosomal RNA is filed under the name uncultured bacterium. RNAcentral's name for it is "partial 16S ribosomal RNA". It matches the Rfam family "Bacterial small subunit ribosomal RNA", at positions 524 to 776 of the family's 1533-position model. The record is from RNAcentral.
UACGGAGGAGGCAAGCGUUAUCCGGAAUCAUUGGGCGUAAAGCGUCCGUAGGGUGCCACUCAAGUAUGCUGUCAAAGCUCCUGGCUCAACCGGGAAAAGGCAGUGGAAACUAGGUAGCUAGAGGGCGAUAGGGGCAGAGGGAAUUCCCGGUGUAGCCGUGAAAUGCGUAGAGAUGGGGAAGAACACCAGUGGCGAAAGCGCUCUGCUGGGUCGCACCUGACCCUGAGGGACGAAAGCUAGGGGAGCGAAAGGG